AAUAGCAAACAGAGUAAGGGUCUGCUGUUCAACUGCGGCCUCCCUCCCCAACUCUGAACCAUCCUGUAACAGAAAGCAGCGACUCCUGCAAGGGUGCCUUUGACUGGACUUUCUCAUGGGGGCGGCGGUGGAUGGGAGUGAAGAACUUCAAGAUUACAAAUAUCCGUCUCAGUUGAUGCUGAAUUACUCGUCGACAGAUAAGAAAAGGUCUGUUUGGACAUUCAAAGAAGCUACACAUACAAAGAUGGUUUGGCUCCGUGCCGUCAGUCCCAGCAUUUGAAAAAAAGAAAGAAAGAAAGAAAGAAAGAAAGAAAGAAAGAAAGAAAGAAAGAAAGAAAGGAAGGAAGAAAGGAAGGAAGGAAAGAAGGAAGGAAGAAAGAACAAGAAGAGUCUGAGCAUUUCCAUGCUCAUCUUUGCCUCAAAUUAAUAAGUAAGUAAAUAAAUAAAUAAAGUGCAAGGCAGAAGAAAGUUUGCUGCUUGUGUCUGUAGGUCGUCGUGCACGCGUGUAUGAAUGUCUUGGAGUCAUAUUUGUGCGUUACCUCCCCCCACCCCCAACACACUCUCAAAGACAAGGGCGUGGAGGGAUCGCCCCCAGAGAGCUGUGUUUACUCUUUUUUUUUUUUUUUCAAUCUCUCGGCUAUGUAUGACAAGUGUUACUUGAAGAUAGUCAUCGGCCUUCUCCAGAUACUUCCAGGUUUGCCAUAAUGAUCUGCAGAAGAGAGCUGCCAUCACUUUCUCACAUCCCAAGGUGUUGGCGGAACUCGGAGCGUGGGGAGAGUGCCUGCAAUGCUUAAUUACCAAGGGGAGGGCGGGGUGCCGCCCUAACGCCGGGCGGCUGUUGGGGAGGUAAACUGCAACCCAGGAGGUCUUUCUGGACGCUGGACUCUCCAGUCGGAGAGUAUUUGGACAAGGUAUGAUUGCCUCCCACCUCCCACCUCUCUCUCCCAAUGCCUUUGGGGAGAAGUGAUACCCUUGUGUAACAAUUAGCUCAGACAAUAAAAAUAAUUGGAAAAUCA
This is a long non-coding RNA of Mastomys coucha (southern multimammate mouse), 1016 nucleotides long. RefSeq lists it as uncharacterized. The transcript is spliced from 3 exons. Lineage: Eukaryota; Metazoa; Chordata; Mammalia; Rodentia; Muridae. The record is from RefSeq and is a predicted model, not a curated record.